Molecule: ribosomal RNA, 433 nt
Filed under: uncultured bacterium
Lineage: Bacteria
Description: partial 16S ribosomal RNA
Rfam family: Bacterial small subunit ribosomal RNA
Source: RNAcentral
AGCGAACGCUGGCGGCAGGCCUAACACAUGCAAGUCGAACGAACUCUUCGGAGUUAGUGGCGGACGGGUGAGUAACACGUGGGAACGUGCCUUUAGGUUCGGAAUAACUCAGGGAAACUUGUGCUAAUACCGAAUGUGCCCUUCGGGGGAAAGAUUUAUCGCCUUUAGAGCGGCCCGCGUCUGAUUAGCUAGUUGGUGAGGUAAAGGCUCACCAAGGCGACGAUCAGUAGCUGGUCUGAGAGGAUGAUCAGCCACAUUGGGACUGAGACACGGCCCAAACUCCUACGGGAGGCAGCAGUGGGGAAUCUUGCGCAAUGGGCGAAAGCCUGACGCAGCCAUGCCGCGUGAAUGAUGAAGGUCUUAGGAUUGUAAAAUUCUUUCACCGGGGACGAUAAUGACGGUACCUGGAGAAGAAGCCCCGGCUAACUUCGUG